This 112-nucleotide ribosomal RNA is filed under the name Chinchilla lanigera (long-tailed chinchilla). The record is from RNAcentral. Lineage: Eukaryota; Metazoa; Chordata; Mammalia; Rodentia; Chinchillidae.
GUCUAUGGCCAUACCUCCCUGAACACACCUGAUCUUGUCUGAUCUCAGAAGCUAAGCAGGGUUGGGCCUGCUUAGUACUUGGAUGGGAGAACAUCACUGGUUAUUCAAGAAA